Molecule: non-coding RNA, 1199 nt
Organism: Erythranthe guttata (spotted monkey flower)
Lineage: Eukaryota; Viridiplantae; Streptophyta; Magnoliopsida; Lamiales; Phrymaceae
Source: RefSeq, a predicted model, not a curated record
CUGCCCACGUAUCUCUAACUGCAAAACUUGUGUAGAAACUUCUCCCUCCACUUCUCCACUUACCCUUAUUAGCUUCUUUGUUGUAUAAACACAUUCAUCACUCCACUGACACAGAAACCUCUUUUUUUCUGCAACAAUGGAGCAAAUCGAAAAAUCAGAAGCAAUCUCAUGGUAAGUAUUUCUCCUAAUAUACCAAAUUCAAUAAUUGUGUUUCUUCAUUGCUUUGCAGAUACCUGAUGGCGGCAAAAAGUAGAAUCCACAGCUCGAUUAUUUUUGGGGUUUUAUAUGUUUGGAGAAGGAAUUGAAUUUUCUAAUUCUUUGGUCUCUUAAUUUCCAUCAUUACCGAUCUCUGCACUUUCCACUCCCUUAUUUUCAUUUUUUUCCGCCUACAAAAAGUACAGAAUUGAAGAUGAUUUUGAAUACGAUCUUUGUUGCUAUUCUGGACGAAUUCUCAAUUUGGUUUCGGAUUUUCAAAGAGAGAUUUUGUUUUCAAAGAGAAUUUGGUGUCACCAGAUUUGGUCUUCUUCAACUACAUCACACUGUUUUCUUUCCACCAACCCAAAUUUUUCCUGUUGUGUGAAGCCUGUUUUUACCAUUUAUUUGUGUUUGAUAAGUUGGAGAUGACUGCAAUAUUGAAGAUCAAGGAGACAAGUAAUCCUCCUAUUUGCUUGAUCGGAGGGAGGGAAAAAAACAUGAAUGUCUAACUUGGGGAAUUGACAGCAAACGGGUUUUGAGGUGUUGAAUAGCUCUUCAGUCUUGCGAAAUCGUUGGUGGCAUAAAAAAAUCUCUGCUAGACCGCAAGGCUGGGACGCGCCGCCGCUGACAAGAAGAGGAGUUCAUUGUGACGGUGACGAAGAACAAGAAUCGAAGAAGCUAAAAAAUGAUGAUGGUGUUUGUAAUAAUGAUGAUAGAUAAGAGCUCCAAGUAAUCUGGCUGGCUUAGAUCUGUUUAGCUAUGGAACCAAUCCCUAAUCUGCGGAAAGAGCGAUUCCCCAAGGAAAAAUUGUUGUGACGGAGGUGAAGAUAAAUGGUAGUGGUGAGUGAUGACGCAUUUCAUCUGUUUAAGAAUUAGAAGAAAAAUUGUUGUGACGGAGGUGAAGAUAAAUGGUAGUGGACAAGCUUCUGGAUGGGACAAGCAUCACCCAUUUGUUUCUCAUUACUAAGUACCUCGGUUUGUUUGAGAGCUACUAGCAUAACAGG